UCCUACGGGGGGCAGCAGUGGGGGAUAUUGCACAAUGGGGGAAACCCUGAUGCAGCGACGCCGCGUGUGGGAAGACGGUCUUCUGGAUUGUAAACCACUGUCCCCAGGGACGAAAAUGACGGUACCUGGGGAGGAAGCUCCGGCUAACUACGUGCCAGCAGCCGCGGUAAUACGUAGGGAGCAAGCGUUGUCCGGAAUUACUGGGUGUAAAGGGCGAGUAGGCGGGAUUGCAAGUCAGAUGUGAAAACUAUGGGCUCAACCGAUAGAGUGCAUUUGAAACUGCAGUUCUUGAGUGAUGGAGAGGG
RNAcentral lists this ribosomal RNA (305 nucleotides) under uncultured bacterium. RNAcentral's name for it is "bacterial SSU rRNA". It matches the Rfam family "Bacterial small subunit ribosomal RNA", at positions 337 to 658 of the family's 1533-position model. The record is from RNAcentral.